Molecule: long non-coding RNA, 2869 nt
Organism: Bos taurus (domestic cattle)
Lineage: Eukaryota; Metazoa; Chordata; Mammalia; Artiodactyla; Bovidae
Gene: TRAF3
Product: TNF receptor associated factor 3
Source: Ensembl
GGGGUGCCCGGCGGCCCCGCUUCUCUGGUGCUGCCGACCGCCCUGGGUGUGCCUUCGCCCCAGUGCCUGCUGGAAGCACCUCCUCUCCACCGCGUCCCUGGGCUUCCAUAAGUGACCUCAUGGGUUCCCAGCACCCGCCCGCCCGCAGUUACAGCUCCGUCGUCUUCAUCUCCGUUUCUUUCCCUCCCCGCCCCCACCCCAGUUGCUUCGAGGGCGGAUCGCGUCCUCGGUCCCGCCGCCCCCCCCACCCCCGUCCGCUCACAGAGGAGGGGCUCCUGCAGGUGCUGCGGGACCACAGCUCCCUCGAAGGUGCCUGGACUCCCGGGGCUCCGGGCGGCCCCCACCUCCAGACGGUGUUCCCGGGAGGCCAGAGGUGACCGACGGGGACCGCCUGCCACUUCCUCCUGCUUCACUAGAAGGACGGACAAUACUGACGGAAGCAGCAUCUCGGUCUGUUAUAAAACAGUUCUUUCCCCGCCCUGGGUGGGGAGCCUGUCGGCAGCACUCCGGAAGCAUCUGGCCAGUGGUGAGGGGGCUUUCCAGGAGCCCCUCUAGUGGGAGAUGGACCCCCACCCCACCCCCGGAGCCGUGGGACCCGGCUCACUGUGCCCGGGGUGGACGCUGGGUCGUGGCGGGAGCUUCAGGCCGCGGUGAGCCGCGGGGAAGCCAGCCACGCAGGGGGGCGCCGCUCUGUGGUCCAUCUGACGUUGGGCCCCCUCCAGCCCCACCCCCACCAGGCCCCGGCCAAGGGACGGGUUUCAGACACGGCGCACAGAUGCGUUUUCCGCAUUAACUCAGUAUCAAGUUCCCCACGGAACAGGCCGUUCCAGUGCUUUAGAGGAACCGCGGUGAGUCCCACGCGGGGUCAGCCCGCCUGCGUCCCAGCCCCAUCGCCUGUCGUGGAAACGGAGACCUGCAGGGCCCCUGCGGCCGGCUGAGGGUCUUGCCUGUGGGUGGGGGCCGGGGGGCUGGGCUCUGGCCCACCUGGGCCUCUGUCACAGGUCAGGGGUUUUCAGUCGGCGGUUGUAUCGGUGACACGGAGACAGCAGAGACGCGUGUGAAUUGUUCACAAGCCCGUCCCACGGGAGGGUGGCACGGUCACUGUGCAGGUGGGUGAGGAGGGCCGCCGUCUGCCCCCUGCCCAGCCCCAGAGCCCCGCCGCGGGGUGAGCAGGCAGCUCCCAGCCGGCGGCCCCCCUGUCCUGGAGGCGGGCCCCACCAGGCCCUCAGACGGCGGCAGGGGCCCACGUGGCCAUCCUGGCCAGAAAGGGGCGGGCGGUCUCCUGACAGCUCGUCUCCGCAGGGUCCCCAGCCACCUGCGGUCCCGCGUCCCCGUCGCCCCCCGGCACUCAGUGUCGAGGGAUGGUCUCCCAUGCCGGGCCUGGCAUCCAGCCUGCAGCCUGCGGGCAGCCGGCCGAACCCUGAAACAGCAGGUGCGGGCCCCCGAGUGUACCCCAGGGGCGCACACCUCCAGCCACCCAGGCCCGCUGUGCCUCCCGGCCCACGCUCGGAGGGGCGACUGUCACCCUGAGCUGGGCGUGGACGGCUCCAGCCCCAGCAUCUCCGCCCGCCCUCACGGGCGCUGGCCAGGGACCAGGAGCCACGUGGGGCUCAGCCACACCUCCGCCCUCCGAAACCCGCCCCUCUGCUGGUGCUGACCAGCAGGGCUGGAAAGGGCUCAGGCAGAGCUGGUAACCCCGCUUUGUAACUUCUAGUCCAGACUGUCACUGACCUGGCCGCAGAGGAGAGCUGGGGGAAAUCCAGGCGCUCCUUUGCUCCGUGACCUGAUGGCGGGGCAGGGGGCGGCGGGGGGUCCGUCACCCAGUCUGCUGCUCAGCCCAAGACCAUGGUUCUGCUUUCUGUUCGCAAAUCUCGAUAGCUCUGUUUCUUCCAAAGUAGAUCAUGUCCCCGAGGGUCCAGGCCGGAUGGGGUCAGCUGGGGGCUGCAGCCAGGGCAGGUGGCCGGCCGUCUCUGCGCUGGUUGCCCCCCGGGGAGCUGGGGCGGCGGGGGUGGAGGCGUUUCUGCUGGCCUCAGUGCCCGGGGCGUGGGGGUCGGCCCACGGGCAGAGGCCCGGAUGAGUGGCUCGAAGCAGUGCCCGCAUUUCAUUUCUGCUGCUGCUGCUGCUGCGUCUAGUCUGUCUUGUGAACUCGCAACAAAAGAGGUGGAGUCCAGGGUGGCUGCACCACUCCUGCAGUCAGUGGCGAUCUGUUCCCAACUAGUCCCUUUAGACCAGUAAGAUAACUUCCACAGCAAACUCAACGACUUAAUUGGUAAACACAAAAAGCUGGCAUUAUUUUCCAGGAUUUCUAUGAGAAUUACCUGUAGAGUUAACAGAGUCUGUGGUCAAGGAAGUGUACAUCCACGUAGACACUUUUGAGAAUCGGUUCUUUCUUUGAUGGCACACCUCUGCGUUCAGUUCUCUUACCCAAAACAAAGACCAAAGAAGGCCAAUCUCUUGUGUGACUCUGUAUUUUUAAUCUGCCUGUUUUAAAAAAAUAAAACCUUGCGUCUGUACAGCCGCUCGCUGUGAGGACCCAUCUUGACAGUCCAAGUGAUUGUGACCAGUGACCACGUCCCGUGUUCUUCUGCUCUUCUGAGAAAAAAACACAAAAGGACCGUGUGAGUUAUUGCCCAGCAAUAAUCAUGUUGUUAACUGUGGGUCAACAACAUGUCUGACUUCCUGAUAGCAUUAUUAUGUUUGAUAUUUUUGUUUACUGUAUAUCUUGUGUGGUUUUAUUUGGUAUUUAUUUGUGUUUUGAGGUCUUGCAACGUUUUUGUGUUCCUGAUGCUAAUAACUGAAGUUUGUAAGAGUGUAGAAUGCCCAACUUUGAAAUGCUGAAACUGUCUCAUUAGAGGAAAAUAAACCUGAC